RNAcentral lists this ribosomal RNA (422 nucleotides) under uncultured prokaryote. Its description in RNAcentral is "bacterial SSU rRNA". It matches the Rfam family "Bacterial small subunit ribosomal RNA", at positions 355 to 774 of the family's 1533-position model. The record is from RNAcentral.
UGAGGAAUAUUGGUCAAUGGGCGAGAGCCUGAAACAGCCAUGUCGCGUGAAGGGAGCAUGUCCUAUGGAUUGUAAACUUCUUUUAUACAGGAAUAUAGUGUACUACGUGUAGUAUGUUGUAUGUACUGUAUGAAUAAGGAUCGGCUAACUCCGUGCCAGCAGCCGCGGUAAUACGGAGGAUCCGAACGUUAUCCGGAUUUAUUGGGUUUAAAGGGUGCGUAGGCGGAAUAGCAAGUCAGUGGUGAAAGUUUGCAGCUUAACUGUAAAAUUGCCAUUGAAACUGCUGUUCUUGAGUACAGUAGAGGUAGGCGGAAUGUGUAGUGUAGCGGUGAAAUGCAUAGAUAUUACACAGAACACCGAUUGCGUAGGCAGCUUACUGGAGUGUAACUGACGCUGAGGCACGAUAGCCUGGGGAUCAAACA